This 253-nucleotide ribosomal RNA is filed under the name uncultured bacterium. Its description in RNAcentral is "partial 16S ribosomal RNA". It matches the Rfam family "Bacterial small subunit ribosomal RNA", at positions 524 to 776 of the family's 1533-position model. The record is from RNAcentral.
AACGUAGGUGGCGAGCGUUAUCCGGAUUUACUGGGCGUAAAGGGUGUGCAGGCGGGUGAACAAGGGGGGUAUGAAAGGUUUCGGCUCAACCGAGAUAGGUUAUGCCAGACUGUUUACCUAGAGUGUGAGAGAGGGACGUGGAAUUCCGGGUGUAGUGGUGGAAUGCGUAGAUAUCCGGAAGAACACCGGUGGCGAAGGCGGUGGUCUGGACCAAAACUGACGCUGAGGAGCGAAAGCCAGGGGAGCAAACGGG